GACGAACGCUGGCGGCGUGCCUAACACAUGCAAGUCGAGCGAGUGAAUCUCCUUCGGGAGUGAAGCUAGCGGCGGACGGGUGAGUAACACGUGGGCAACCUGCCUCAUAGAGGGGAAUAGCCUUUCGAAAGGAAGAUUAAUACCGCAUAAGAUUGUAGCUUCGCAUGAAGUAGCAAUUAAAGGAGCAAUCCGCUAUGAGAUGGGCCCGCGGCGCAUUAGCCAGUUGGUGAGGUAACGGCCCACCAAGGCGACGAUGCGUAGCCGAACUGAGAGGGUGAUCGGCCACAUUGGGACUGAGACACGGCCCAGACUCCUACGGGAGGCAGCAGUGGGGAAUAUUGCACAAUGGGGGAAACCCUGAUGCAGCAACGCCGCGUGAGUGAUGACGGCCUUCGGGUUGUAAAGCUCUGUCUUCAGGGACGAUAAUAACGGUACCUGAGGAGGAAGCCACGGCUAACUACGUGCCAGCCGCCGCCGUAA
RNAcentral lists this ribosomal RNA (480 nucleotides) under uncultured bacterium. RNAcentral's name for it is "partial 16S ribosomal RNA". It matches the Rfam family "Bacterial small subunit ribosomal RNA", at positions 28 to 523 of the family's 1533-position model. The record is from RNAcentral.